UAGUCCACGCCGUAAACGAUGGAUACUAGGUGUUUGGAACGAUCAAGUUCUGAGUACUACAGCUAACGCAUUAAGUAUCCCGCCUGGGGAGUACGGUCGCAAGGCUAAAACUCAAAGGAAUUGACGGGGGCCCGCACAAGCGGUGGAGUAUGUGGUUUAAUUCGAAGCAACGCGCAGAACCUUACCUACCCUUAACAUCCCGGGGCGACUGCAGAGAUGUAGUUUUCUCUUCGGAGACUCGGUGAUAGGUGCUGCAUGGCUGUCGUCAGCUCGUGUCGUAAGAUGUUCGGUUAAGUCCGGUAACGAGCGCAACCCUUAUCCUUAGUUACCAUCAUUAAGUUGGGGACUCUGGGGAGACUGCCGGUGUGAAACCGGAGGAAGGCGGGGAUGACGUCAAGUCCUCAUGGCCCUUACGGGUAGGGCUACACACGUACUACAAUGGCAGAAACAAACCGCAGCAAUAGCGUGAGCUGGAGCUAAUCGGUAAAACACUAGUCUCAGUCCGGAUUGCAGUCUGCAA
RNAcentral lists this ribosomal RNA (520 nucleotides) under uncultured bacterium. RNAcentral's name for it is "bacterial SSU rRNA". It matches the Rfam family "Bacterial small subunit ribosomal RNA", at positions 791 to 1310 of the family's 1533-position model. The record is from RNAcentral.